AUACGGAGGGGGUUAGCGUUGUUCGGAAUUACUGGGCGUAAAGCGCACGUAGGCGGACUGGAAAGUUGGGGGUGAAAUCCCGGGGCUCAACCCCGGAACUGCCUCCAAAACUUCCAGUCUAGAGAUCGAGAGAGGUAAGUGGAAUUCCUAGUGUAGAGGUGAAAUUCGUAGAUAUUAGGAGGAACACCAGUGGCGAAGGCGGCUUACUGGCUCGAUACUGACGCUGAGGUGCGAAAGCGUGGGGAGCAAACAGGAUUAGAAACCCCAGUAGUCC
Molecule: ribosomal RNA, 274 nt
Filed under: uncultured bacterium
Lineage: Bacteria
Description: partial 16S ribosomal RNA
Rfam family: Bacterial small subunit ribosomal RNA
Source: RNAcentral